Molecule: ribosomal RNA, 473 nt
Filed under: uncultured bacterium
Lineage: Bacteria
Description: SSU rRNA
Rfam family: Bacterial small subunit ribosomal RNA
Source: RNAcentral
AGGACGAACGCUGGCGGCGUGCUUAACACAUGCAAGUCGAGCGGAAAGGCCCUUCGGGGUACUCGAGCGGCGAACGGGUGAGUAACACGUGAGUAAUCUGCCCCUAGCUCUGGGAUAGCUCCGGGAAACCGGGAUUAAUACCGGAUACGACCACUUUAGACAUCUGUUGUGGUGGAAAGAAUUUUGGCUAGGGAUGAGCUCGCGGCCUAUCAGCUUGUUGGUGGGGUAACGGCCUACCAAGGCGACGACGGGUAGCCGGCCUGAGAGGGCGACCGGCCACACUGGGACUGAGACACGGCCCAGACUCCUACGGGAGGCAGCAGUGGGAAUAUUGCGCAAUGGGCGAAAGCCUGACGCAGCGACGCCGCGUGGGGGAUGAAGGCCUUCGGGUUGUAAACCCCUUUCAGCAGGGACGAAGCGAAAGUGACGGUACCUGCAGAAGAAGCGCCGGCUAACUACGUGCCAGCAGCCGC